AACAAACGCUGGCGGCGUGCCUAAUACAUGCAAGUCGAACGGGGAAAGUAGCAAUAUGUGUCCUAGUGGCGCACGGGUGAGUAACGCGUGGCUAAUCUGCCCUGAACAGGGGGAUAACUAGUCGUAAGAUUAGCUAAUACCGCAUAAGACCACAAGAACUGAGGCUUAGGGGGUCAUAGGUUUUUCGCUUGAAGAUGAGUCCGCGUAAGAGUAGCUAGUUGGUGAGGUAAUGGCUCACCAAGGCAACGGUCUUUAACUGGUCUGAGGGGAUGAUCAGACACAGGGAAUGAGAGACGCGGUAGAGACUUCUGCGGGGGGGAGGAGGAGGAAAUAUUGCAAUGGGGGGAAGACUGAGAUGGAGCGGCGCCGCGUGAGAGAUGGAGCUUUGCGGGGUGUAAAGCUUUGGCGCAUGAGAAUAACACAGUGACGGUACCCGGUAAGAAAGGACCGGCUAACUACGUG
This 462-nucleotide ribosomal RNA is filed under the name uncultured bacterium. RNAcentral describes it as "partial 16S ribosomal RNA". It matches the Rfam family "Bacterial small subunit ribosomal RNA", at positions 29 to 507 of the family's 1533-position model. The record is from RNAcentral.